Long non-coding RNA from Cercocebus atys (sooty mangabey), 687 nucleotides. RefSeq lists it as uncharacterized. Lineage: Eukaryota; Metazoa; Chordata; Mammalia; Primates; Cercopithecidae. The transcript is spliced from 5 exons. The record is from RefSeq and is a predicted model, not a curated record.
AUCCUCCCGCCUUGGCCUCCCAGAGUGCUGAGAUUACAGAGAGAGAAUGCUAAUGAGCUGUGAAAUGACCAAAGAUCUGGCAGCAGAAGGGAAGAGAAAAAAUAACGGUGGAUACCAAGGUGUGAGAUUACUGAGUCAAACGAUAGGCGCAUCCAAAGUGCGAAGGACUACUGCCCAAUGUGUUCUCCAAAAAGGUUGGCCAGUUUAUAUUUCCAGGAAUAUGGAACAAGAGGAUUUAUCUGACUCAACUGGAGAUGGCUCCCUUCCCUAAUUUAUUGUUGCAUCCUGAAGCUUCCCCCAUGCUGAGCUCAGUGUGAACAAACAGCGCGGGAGGAUGUAACCACUGCAGAGGCAUAUGUUUGAGAUGUCUGGCCACUGGAGGUCGUCUCGUCUACUAUGUUCACCACAGAUAAAGAAUGAAAAGAGAAUACACAACCUUGUGAUUGCUAGCAGUGAAAGCUCAGAGUUGUGACAUAACAGUAAGUGUUUUAUUCUGCAUAACCUUAGGUUUAACAAAGGUUAUUACUAGACACUUAAAGAACAUGCUUAUAUUUUGCACAUGAGAAAAUGGAAUUAAAAAUGGGAAAAGAAUAGAGUCAUGACUCCCAAACUGUGUCCUAAGCACCCAAGACUUUGCAGCAAACUUAGAGGGGGGCUGUGGCACAUUUUAAAUAUCAAGGAAAUACA